RNAcentral lists this ribosomal RNA (119 nucleotides) under Triticum aestivum (bread wheat). Lineage: Eukaryota; Viridiplantae; Streptophyta; Magnoliopsida; Poales; Poaceae. The record is from RNAcentral.
GGAUGCGAUCAUACCAGCACUAAAGCAUCGGAUCCCAUCAGAACUCUGAAGUUAAGCGUGCUUGGGCGAGAGUAGUACAAGGAUGGGUGACCUCCUGGGAAGUCCUCGUGUUGCAUUCC